This 468-nucleotide ribosomal RNA is filed under the name uncultured bacterium. RNAcentral describes it as "partial 16S ribosomal RNA". It matches the Rfam family "Bacterial small subunit ribosomal RNA", at positions 28 to 507 of the family's 1533-position model. The record is from RNAcentral.
GACGAACGCUGGCGGUGUGCUUAACACAUGCAAGUCGAACGGAAAGGCCCUGCUUUUGUGGGGUGCUCGAGUGGCGAACGGGUGAGUAACACGUGAGUAACCUGCCCUUGACUUUGGGAUAACUUCAGGAAACUGGGGCUAAUACCGGAUAGGAGCUCCUGCUGCAUGGUGGGGGUUGGAAAGUUUCGGCGGUUGGGGAUGGACUCGCGGCUUAUCAGCUUGUUGGUGGGGUAGUGGCUUACCAAGGCUUUGACGGGUAGCCGGCCUGAGAGGGUGACCGGCCACAUUGGGACUGAGAUACGGCCCAGACUCCUACGGGAGGCAGCAGUGGGGAAUAUUGCAUAAUGGGCGGAAGCCUGAUGCAGCAACGCCGCGUGCGGGAUGACGGCCUUCGGGUUGUAAACCGCUUUCGCCUGUGACGAAGCGUGAGUGACGGUAAUGGGUAAAGAAGCACCGGCUAACUACGUG